Seriola dumerili (greater amberjack) is the source of this 824-nucleotide long non-coding RNA. RefSeq lists it as uncharacterized. The record is from RefSeq and is a predicted model, not a curated record. NCBI's taxonomy places the organism in Eukaryota, Metazoa, Chordata, Actinopteri, Carangiformes, Carangidae. The transcript has 2 exons.
CCAUAGCAACCAGGUCAGCUGGACCAACAACAGUAAAAUAAUUAAUCUCUUUUGUCCCAGACACACUGGUCCAGAGGCUGGUAUCUCUCUCUGCCUGGUGAAGACAGUCGUGUUCUCUGUCGGUCUGGUCAUCAUGGUGUCUGCUGUCAUCAGUGUCCAUCUCAUGGAGAAGCUCAAGAGGCACAAAUAAUCAAACAGUUCUCUACUGAUCAACUUCACAUGUGUCUCACAGUCUUAUCUAAAUGUAAAGUUAAAGGUGGCCUGUGUGGUCUUUGACCACUGGGAGCACUUUUCUUUUUUCUAGGUGGGUCCUUCUCUUGUAUUAUGCAUGUGCACAAGAAAUGUAGCAAAGCACCGACAAAGUGAAGGAGGGAGAAGACUGCAGACAUAGAUGUAAACAAUUCAGGGUUUUAUUUUAUCAGCUUUGAAAAUGCAUGUAAAGCUUUUCUCAGGUGUCAAAGAUACUCACAAUAUGUAAAUGUUGUUUCUUUGCAAUUUUCUUUCUUAAUAUUUAAUACAAAUGCAAAUUACUCUUGAUUGUUCAUUGAUUAUACCUAAUACUGUUAAAAAUGUUAGUGGGGUUGUUUUCUUGAAAAAAUAACAAAAAAUAUAACUUCAAAUAAUACACUAUAUGUCACACUGCAUGAAGUCAUAUUUACAACAUUCUUAAAAAGAUUGCACUUACAUCUGUUUUGUAAAUUCCAUGUUCUUUAGACCAAAUAAUUGAUAGUUUUUUAAACCAUGUUUUAAUGUCUGGGUAAACUAAGUAAAGCAGUUUCUUAUAUUUGCAACAUUACAUUUAUUAAAUCUAUAAGCCUCUCUCA